GUUCUCCAGUUUGCCUGCCUAGUCACAGCACAAGUGUGCAGAUCCUGUUUUGUUUUGCUUUAUUUUCAGAAUAGAAAAAGGGAUUAUUCAGUUUCUCUGCACCCUCUCUGUGCAGCUGAAUUUGACAGUAGAUACAGAGUUUUGCCAUGUUGGCCAGGCCAGUCUCGAACUGCUGACCUCAAGUGAUCCACCCACCUCGGCCUCUCAAAGUGCUGGGAUUACAGGCAGGGAGUCUCACCCUGUUGCCCAGCCUGGAGUGCAAUAGCGCGAUCUCGGCUCACUGCAACCUCCACCUACCAGAUUCAAGUGAUUCUCCUGCCUCAGCCUCCCGAGUAGCUGGGAUUACAGGUGCCUUUGCUGACUUUUAAAAACUCAUUCAAAAUUCCUCAUGUAUAAAAUCUCCUGGUGCACAUAUUAAGAACUCAUAGGUUAUAACUGAAAACAGAACUUCAUUCUUUUUCCCCAACAGAGAGUACCAUAACAAUUGUUAUUCCUAAUCUAUGGCUUAUUUCUUACAAACAUUGAAUAU
Long non-coding RNA from Symphalangus syndactylus (siamang), 529 nucleotides. RefSeq lists it as uncharacterized. The record is from RefSeq and is a predicted model, not a curated record. Lineage: Eukaryota; Metazoa; Chordata; Mammalia; Primates; Hylobatidae.